UAUAAAGAGGUCACAAUGCCUUGCGAGCACGGCAACCAUCUCACAGUAAGGCAAAAGUAAACAUGGCCAGGAUUCCUACUGUCACCUGGAGAUGCCGCAGGAACUUUGGACUCACUACCUUCAGACUUCAUGUUACAUAAAAACAAUAAGCCCCUACCUAGGAAAAAGCAGAAUAUAUCAGGUUCAGUACUAACCACAGUUUCAGACAUCAACUGGAGGAUGAUGGUAUUCCCAGCAGAUAAGGAUAAAGGAGCCUAGUAAAGAAAAAGUAAAAGAGAGUCCCUGAUAAAAGAUAAUAGAGUAUCAACAGUCUUCUGAGCAAGAAAGCUUCUUUCUGAGCAAGAAAACAAGUGUGGAGUGUUCACAUCAUGCUAUCUAAGGUCAUCUGAAGUGCAGUGGUGACUGGAGGAGCUGGGUGUAUCAUCACACGCAUCCCUCAGCCUUUUCAGGGCCCUGGAAAGGCAAAAACAAAAGAAAACAAAAACAACCCUAAGAAAAUAACUAUAACAAGUCUGGUUUUUUUGGUUUGGGAUGCCCAGAACCUGUUGAUGAGAAAUCCGUAAAUUUAUUAUCAUUAUUUAAAAGGAUUCAUUCUGUA
Molecule: long non-coding RNA, 598 nt
Organism: Suricata suricatta (meerkat)
Lineage: Eukaryota; Metazoa; Chordata; Mammalia; Carnivora; Herpestidae
Exons: 3
Source: RefSeq, a predicted model, not a curated record